RNAcentral lists this long non-coding RNA (27245 nucleotides) under Cicer arietinum (chickpea). Its description in RNAcentral is "long non-coding RNA (CARI_LNC000537)". The record is from RNAcentral. Lineage: Eukaryota; Viridiplantae; Streptophyta; Magnoliopsida; Fabales; Fabaceae.
CAUUUCACCCUUCCAUUUUCACCCUUCAUUUUUCCUCUUUUGUUUUACGCAUUAUGCUUCCAUGUCGCCAGCAUCAACGCUGUCAUGCCUCACGUUUGAAAUGUCUUCAUCUCCUUUCUGUUUUUACGUCUUCUUCCAACUUUUCAUCUUUCAAUGCAGCAAGCUACGAUGCCAACACAUUGUAAGCUUGAUUUUCCUUUGAUCUUCAUUUUUGUUUUUGUUUCUUAUUUAGGUUUCUAUUUUUGGUCUAUUUUAGUGCUUUCAACUUUUGAGUUUGCCCUUUAUUUUAUUCUUACAGAAAAACCUAAACUUCUAUCCAAGUUUGCCCUAAUUUCCUUCAUCUUUUGGUAUUUUCUCUUCUUCCCUUUUAACUUCUAAUUUUUUUUCCAAUUUACUCUUGAGAAAAACCCUGAAUUUAUGAUUGAAUGACAAUCAAUCUUUUAUUUUCAUUUCAUCAGAUUGAGGAUUGAUAACCUAAUGUAUAUGAAGUGUUUUUUUUUUUUUUUUAUUGUCAUGCAAUUGAAAUAAAUGAUUAAUCUCUAUUCAUUUUUAACUGGUCAACAUAUAAGGUUUGUGGGUAAUUUGUCCUUGAUUUUGUAGUUUUUUUUCCUUCUUUUUUUAUAUUAUUUUUUUUCUCAGUGAACUUUCAUCUAUAGCGCCAACAAGUUGGAGAUAUGUUUAAGGUGAUAUCAUAGAUAUUCAAUAAGAUGAGGGAAAAGAGGAAGAUUCUUGAUCUUACUAGCACACUCGAAUGUAUCGAGAAGAACUUUGUCAUUACUAAUCCAAAGCUUCUUGAUAACCCCAUUGUAAGAAAUUUAUAUAUAUUCUUUUUUAUAGUGUCAUCGUUUGUGUUUCUUUUGCAUCAAAGUUGUUUGGAGAUUGAUUGUUAAUUUGUGUAAUAUUGUAACUAAAGAUGACAUAUAUGAAUAUGAGGGUAAAUUUUUAUUUGAUUUUUUAUAUAUUUUCCUCUAUUUGUCGGCUCACGUUUUUUGUAACGUCAAUUUGACGUUAAUGACCAAAAAUAAAGUUUUUGGAUAUUGUAGAGAUGAAAUCCAAACAAAUAUUUUUCAGAGACUAAAAACACGGGGACCAAAAAUAUAUUUAAACGUUUUGGUCCACGCUUCCUUUUGUCAAUUAACAUUUUUGUAACGUCCAUUUGACGUUAAGGACAAAAAAUAAAUUUUCCUGAUAUUACUGGAUGAAAUCCAAACAAAUAUUUUUAUAUGUACUAAAACUAAAAACGGUUAUAUUUACAGGGACCAAAAAUAUAUUUAAACAAAAAAAAAAUUAUGUUGAUAUAAUAUUUUGUUGAUAUAUGUACUUUUAAAGAGUAGGUCUUAAUUGAAAAUAUAAUCAUUCUUGUUAAGAUUUAAAUUACAUUUAGACACAAAUUCAUAGGUUGCUUCAUUUUAUCAAAUUAAUUAAAACAAUAAGUUAUAUUUUAGCUUAACUUGUUUUAAAAAAUCAAACUAAUAGAAACCUAAAUAAAAGUUAACGAGCAGUGAUAUUAAAAACCUGAAUAAAAGUUAACGAGUAGUGAUAUUUGGACAUUCAGAUUUGGCUUGAGAAUGUUUAGGGUGUGCGACUAUAUAAGAUCUCAAGUAUUCAGGGAAAUCAAAAUUUUAUUUUUAUAGUAUAAAAAAUUAUAUAGUAAAAAAAUGUUAAAGGUUGUGUAGUUUUAUGUUUUUUCUUCUUAAACUCUAGAUCUAAAAUUCUAAAUUCAUAAUUGUUGAACCUUUAUGAUUGAAUAUGUACAAAAAAACGAUUGGCAUUUUUUAAUCAUUAGAUUUGAAUUUAAACCCUAGAAAAAAAAAUAGUUUUGUUUAUCAAAUUCUCUUACUCUUAUUACUCCUUGGUCCUAAAAUUUAUGAUAAAGAACAAAAAGUUCAAAUUAUUUGUUUUAAGAAUCUCUUUUACUAACAAUUAUUCGUUCCUACUUUCAUCUGAAAAACAUAAUCAUCUCUUGUUAAAAUGAUGGCUGAAUGGGAUCUUAACAUCUUGUCGUGCAAAAGUAUAUAUAUGUUGAUUGCAUCGAACAUCAAAAAAUUCAUUAUCAUUAUCUUAGUCAUAAGAUCCAAGCUGAAUUGAUUAAUAUGUAUAAAAAAACAUAAUAAUUUAUUUAAAAUUGCAUCAAAUAUAAUAAAAUACAUUAUCAUAAUAUGACUUAUAAUAAAAUAAAAAACAUGAAUAAAAAUAAAAUAGGACACCAAUUUCAAACUUUGCACAUGACACUAAAAUUUUCAAGAACCACUUUGUGAACAUUUGUUACUUUUCUACACCCAUUUACCACUUCAUCCUCUCCUUAUCUCUUUCUUUCUAUCACAUCACUAUUCAUUACAUUAUUUUCUCUAUUUUUUUUUUUCUUUAUGUGAAGGUAUUGAUAAGGUGUAUGGGUAUAUAUCCAAAUAUAAUUGUUAACAAAUCAAUUUUACAUAUCAAUUAUUAUAUUUGAACACCUUUAAUUUUCAUUUAUUUAUUCAACACUUUGAACACUUCAAUCUUACAUAUCAUUAUCUAUUUUUUCUCUCUCAAAGUAUCAAAUGUAUGUUUGAAUGUCUACUAAUACUACGUAUAUUUCGAACAAACCAAAAGAAUAGCCAAUCUUGUAUUAUAACCAUAAAUAUAUUAUUAAAUAACUCCGAUGGUCCAUAAUAAAAUGUGGUGGAUGAUAAAAUUUAAUGGUAAAAAAAAGUAGACCAUCAUAUACCAAUGCAUCUAUUGGGUGAAUGCUAAAAGGAACCGUCCACCAAACAUUUUUCCUUUACAUAUUCUUUUACCAUGGAAUUCUAGGUAUUAGCUAGAUUGUGUACAACAAAAUAACAAGGAGGAAAAAAAUAUCAAACUCAUGUGUAUGUGAUUUUUAGUUUCGUAAAUUUGAUACCAAUAGAAAAGCUUGAUGAUAAUAGUCAUCGACUAUAAUAGUUAAUAAAUAUUUUGACCCAAAAAAAUACUUAUUAUUAUUGUUAGAGUAAAUGGUUAACAUCAAUAGCAACAUAAAAAUUACAUUAAAAAAAUAGAAAACAUAAACUAAUAUUUAAUUGAAUAAUAUCUUAGUAAUUGAUUUUAGUGAAACCCAAAUCUCGUAAAAAUGUUGUAUUUUUAUUUUUUUAAAUUUAUAUAUUUUAUUUUAAUAAAACAUUUUAGAAGCAACUUAUUGUUAUAAAGAGAAAAUAAAAUGUUAAUUAAUCGAGAUAAAUUUUGAAUAUAAUAUUAAAAGUUAUAUACUUUUAUUGUUUCUUAAAAUAUAGACAAUUUUGUUGACGAUAAAUUUGACACAAACUUUUAAAAAUAAAAAUAAAAUAUUUUCUCAAAGUAUAGUAGCCCUUAAAGCAUGUCACGAUGUUCAACGUCCUUCAUGUAUAUACAUAAAUAUUGUCGGUUUUAAUAAGUCUGGCAGGUUAAUACACCACGUAUGACUACAAUUACAAGUUGACACCUCAUGAACAUCUGUUUUAAACCAAACUCUUCUUUGGUCCACUCCAAAUUAGACCUAAACUCAAUAUUACCUAACCCUAUCUCCACCUCAAUCACAUACACGACUACAAUUAUAAGUUGACACCUCGUGGAGAAUUGUUCUGGACCAAACUUUGAUCCACUCCAAAUUAGACCCAAACAUAAUAUCACCUAAUUCUAACCUCCACCUCAAUCACAUGUUAAUAUUGGAGUGCAAUUUAUAGCGACUAAAUAUUGAUAGUGUAGCUAUUUUAUAUACAAAUAUUAUAAUUUUUAUGCAAAAAAUACAAUUUUUUAGAAGGCCCAACGGGAUUUGAACCGGUGCAGUCAGAUGCUCUACUACUGAGCUAUCAACCCAAGUGCUUUUUAGAAUUUAAUUAAUAUAAUAAUUUUACUAAAUAAAACAAAUGAUUUAAUUAUAAAAUUUGCAAUUGGCACAUAUUUAAUGAAAAAAUAAUGAAUUUAUCGUACUUUAUUUAAAUAUUUUAGGAAAUACUUUUUUUUUGUGUGCCAGCAAUUAUUAUAUCAUACAAAGAUCAAACGAACAUAAACCCUAUACAUAAUAUAAAGGUCCAACAUAAAAAUUUUAUUUCAUUUCGUCCUUUGUUUAAUUGUCGAUUUUAUAUAAAAUAUUGUUACCAUAUAUUAGUUGAUUUCAAAUUGUACAAUGCAACAUUAACUAUUGAAUUAUAAAGAAUUAUAUAUAUAUAUACAUAUCUAAAUCACUCGUCAUAAUAACAUGUUGGAAAAAUAUAGGUGUCCACAAAUUUUGUAAAUAAGUAAUGAUAUAUGUGUAACACUUGAUUAAUCACGUAUAAAAAUAUGAUUAAUUCAAUUAAGUAAUCGAUUAAUUGAGCUAAUUAACCAACAUUUUAAACGUAGUUUAAAUUAAGUGUCCGAUACUUCUACUCUAGGAGAAUAUAAACCAACUAUAAAUGGUACCAUAAAUUUUGAAAAUUAGGUGCAUGGAUGCCAUGUGCACAACAAAUACAUCUUCUUGGAUACAACAAUGGUACCACACAACACAAAGAUUUGCAAAACUAGUUGUGCAUGAAUGCCAUGUAAAGAAAACACCCUCUUGGAGACAACCAUAAAGUUUGGAAACGAUCAUGAAGUUGUGUUGCAUGGAUGACAUGUACUCAAACUUGGUAUCCAUUUAUACAAAUAAAUGAUUGAACAAUAUAUAUACGACAAGUUUUGCAUGCAAUUGUGAAUUUAUUCUCUAAAUAAUAAGAAUAUUGUAACAAUCUCAUAUUCAUCUCACUAAGAUUCAACAAUCAUCACUUUUUUAUAGCCGACAAAUGGAGUUUGAAUAUUUAUCUCUUUUAGCUUUGUUUUGUGUAGCGGCCUAUAUUCUACUAUGCUAGCUUGAUCAUAUUAUAUGUAUGGUUUUCGUUUGAAAUCAUCAUGAACACAAAUCUAUUGUGAGUAUUUUAUACAUUUGGCUUUUGUGAGAAUUGGUGCCUUAGCUAGGUAUGGUAAUGGGGCAAUUUUUGCAUUUCUUACCCAUGUAUCUGACUAGUCAUGGAAAAUCUACACCCGCUUUUAUUUUUUAUCGGGUGUGAAAUUUAAACCUUCAUUCCUAUCUGCGACGGGGUUCGGCCUUCCCUGCUUGCACUCACACUCAUUCAUAUAUAUAAAAUAAUAAAUUUAAAAGUUAUAUUUAUUAUAAUUAAUAUUAUACAAUAAUAAAAUUAAAAAAAAAUAUUAAAAUCAUGUUUUCUAUAGAGAGAAAAUUCUAAUUUUAAUAUUUAAAAAAUAUUAAAUAUAUUGAAUAUGUAUAUGUAUAUAAAAAUUUAAAAAUGACAAUAAAUUUGUGUGCUCAAACCCCUCAACAAAUCGGUGUCGCUGAGAUAAAGAACCGACACUUGGUGGAAAUGGCUCGUAUCAUACUCCUUCACAAUAAUGUACCUCCUCGUUUUUUGGGGGAUGCAAUUCUCAUAGCUUGCUACUUAAUCAAUCGCAUGCCUUCCUUUGUACUUGAAAACAAGGUACCACAUUCUAUUUUAUUUCCUCAACAAAAUCUUUAUACCCUACCACUCCGUAUCUUUGGGUGCACAUGUUUUGUUCAUGACCUUACUCCAUGGAAAUAUAAGCUUGUUGCAAAAUCCCUUAAGUGUCUUUGUCUCGCUACUCUCGCUGCAGAAAGGUUAUCGGUGCUAUUCUCCAGAUAUUCGACGAUACUUUAUCUCUGCCGAUAUCAAUUUCUUUGAGACUCGUCCUUUCUUUCUCUCUACUGCAGAAGAGUUCAAUGAUUCUGGUCAGUCACAAUCUAUCUCUCCAGAGGUCCUUAAUCUCCCCAUUGCACCCACCCCUAUCUCUAUUUCCACCCCUGUCUCUAGCACCACCCUAUGCACCUACCAACGAGGCCCCGUCCACCACCCGCUCCUCAAGACUCAUCCCCUGCUCUACCUAACUCUCAUUCUCUGCAUCCUACACAAGGGCUACCCAUUGCUUUGCAUAAAAGUCACAGGUCAUCUCAAAAUCCUAAUCCUAUAUAUGUUUGUCAUUUGAAUUAUAAUCAAUUAUCUACAUCCUAUUAUGCUUUUGUGGCUUCCUUGGAUUAUGUGUCUAUUCUGAAAACUACAAGGGAAGCUAUGUGUAAUCCUGGCUGGCGACAAGCAAUGAUAGAUGAAAUGAAUGCUUUUCACUCCAAUGGGACAUGGGAUUUAGUACCUCUACCUGAUGGAAAAACCACAGUGGGGUGUCGUUGGGUCUAUAUAGUCAAAGUUGGGUCUGAUAGAAAUAUUGAUCGCUUAGAAGCUCGUCUUGUGGCAAAAGGAUACACACAGAUCUUCAGCCUUGACUAUGGGGAUACCUUUUCUCCAGUUGCCAAAAUCGCAUUCGUCUGACUUUUUCUUGCCAUAGCUGCUAUUCACCACUGGCCUCCACCAAUUAGACAUAAAAAAUUUCUUCCUGCAUGGAGAGUUACAAGAUGAGGUGUAUAUGGCACAACCACCAGGCUUCACUGUUAGCGGUACCUCUCACUUGGUAUGUCGAUUACAUCAAUCUCUAUAUGGCAUGAAACAACCUUCCCGUGAUUGGUUUGAGAGGUUUAGUACCGUGCUCUAGGAGUAUGGUAUGACUAGAUGUGAAGCUGAUUACUUGGUUUUCUUCUUGCACUAUUCACCAACCACUUGCAUCUACUUGCUUGUCUAUGUUGACGACAUCAUCAUCACAAGUAAUGACUAGGUUGACAUUCAUCAGCUCAAACAACAUUUGUCUCAAAACUUUCAGACUAAAGAUUUGGGACCGCUAAAAUAUUUUUUAGGGAUUGAGGUUGCUCAGUUUAACAAUUACUCAGUGGAAGUAUGCCCUUGAUAUACUUGAAGAAACAUGCAUGCUUGAUUGUCGCCUGCGUGAUACUCCUAUGGAUCCCAAUGUCAAGCUCCUACCAGGUCAGGGGGAGCCAUUGCAAGGCCCUGAUAGAUAUCGACGACUUGUUGGCAAACUUAAUUAUCUUACAGUAACUAGACCUGAUAUUGCAUUUGUUGUAAGUGUAGUCAGUAAAUUUUUGAUGCUCCAUGUGAUAGUCACUGGAAUGCUGUGAUUCAUAUUCUUAGGUAUUAUGAAUCCAGGUCACCAAGCCCCUAAGUGACUUAGGUAUUAUGUAGUCAGUAAAUUUUUGAUGCUCCACUGGAAUACUGUGAUUCAUAUUCUUAAGUAAAUUCAAUUCAAUGACCCCUAAGUGACUUAGUGAAUGCACCAAGCAAGGGUAACAUCGAAGUUGUUGGCUACUCUGAUGCUGAUUGGGUAGGGUCACCAUCAGAUAGAAGAUCCACUUCUGGGUAUUGUGUCCUUGUUGGAGGUACUUUGAUAUCGUGGCGGAGUAAGAAGCAAAACAUAGUCGCAAGAUCGAGUGCAGAAGCAGAAUAUCGUGAUAUGGUUGCAACGACUUGUGAACUUACAUGGCUAAAACAAUUACUCAAACAACUCAAGUUAUGAGAUGUCAAUGUAAUGAAACUAAUUUGUGAUAACCAAAUUGCACUUCAUAUUGCUUCCAAUCUGGUCUUCCAUGAGAGAACAAAACACAUAGAGCUUGAUUGUCAUUUUGUAAGAAUUAAAGUUCUUUUCGGAGAAAUCACAACUAAUUUUGUUGGUUCAAAUGAUCAAUUGGCUGACAUAUUCACUAAGUCACUUAGGGGUCAUUGAAUUGAAUUUAUAUGUAACAAGUUUGGUGCAUAUGAUAUGUAUGCUCCAACUUGACGAGGAGUGUUAGAAUUUAAAGUAUGAUUAUUAUUCUUUGACUAUACAAUUUCCUAGGUUAAUUGGUAGAACUUCUAGUCAAACACAAGUUUCUAGUAUUUUAAUGUAAUUAUCGUAACCUCAUUAUAAAUAGAAGAUGCGUGAUCAAAUAGUUCUUCAUCAUUUCUCUAACUAUAAAAAUAUAUUUAUUCAUAAUUGGUGAUCUUACAACUAUGAAAGUACACAACUAGUUGGAUUUGUCCAUGUCGAACCAUAUUAGCCACUUUACUAUUUAAGCUUCAAGAUUCACAUAAAUGCUCAAAUUGAAAUACCAAGCAAUUAUCUAUUUCUUAUGUAUUCAAUCUCAAAUAUUUUCUCUAAGCAAACAUAUUUUAGAUGCUCUUUCUAGAGUUUAGAAAAUAUUAUAUAAUCAAUAUAAACAAUAGUUAUAUCAAAUGUUUUAAAAAAAAUCAAGAAUGAGAAAUAUAUUAUUUAUUAUAAUAUAUUAAAAUAACCUUAAACAUUCUCUCCAUUGAUAUAUCAUCUAUUUAUGUGUCACUUACUCAAAUUUAUUCCACAUCAUAAAAAUUUGAUGUGUCACUCUCUAUAUUCAUUCACCCUUAUUAAAUUAUAUCUUCUAUGCUUUCAUUGUAAUACCUUAUCAUUCAUGUCCUUAAAUGCAAUUCAUUUUUAUAAUUUUUGGUUACUUAAUCUAUCAAUGCAUAUGACUAUUGUUUUCACCUUUUCUGUUACUAAACUUUGUUUUGUAAAAAAAAAAAUUUUGGACCUCACUAAACUUCUUUGUCUUCUAAACUUAAACAUAAUCUUCUAAACUUAAACAUAUCUGCUAAUUAACUUUUAAGUCACACACCCUUACUUAAUAAAUUUAUUAAUGUUAAUAUAUUAUCAUCAAUGUGCUCAUUUUAAUUUCUAAAUCAAUUUGUAACAUAAAUUUUAAAUAAUCAAUUCAUUCAUUCUAUUUGGUAGUUGAAUUAUUUUUUAUUCUAAACCAAAGUAUUGUAUUAAUCUUAUUUGAUAAUUCAUCAAUUUUUAGAAGAGUUUGCGUUUAAGAUUAUUUGUAAUUUUUUGCAGGGAUCAAAUUUGCUAAUUUAGAUUUGUGUUUUUCAAUUUCAAGUCUCUGUUGAGAUUUGCCAGUUUAAAUUUCUUGCAUUGAAGAAGUAAAAUUAAUGAAGGUUCUCUUCCAUUGUCAAAAAAGACCAACAAUAUUGGAUAGCUACUAUGGUAACAUUAUCUAAUUUUUAAAUUAAUUAUUUUGUGUUUUUUUUACUAUGAUUUGGUUGUUCUUCUGCAUUUCAUGUUUGAUAAGUCUCUAUUUCAUGUUUGAUAAGUUUAAAUAUUUUUUAUAUGACUGUAUUGUAUCGAUUAGUUGUUGUGUAAAUGUGAAGGUGAUUUAAGUAAAUACAAAAAUGGUGGAUUCAACAUCCAAAUGAUUGUCCUUGGGCGUUAUGUUGCUAGAGGGUACUGCUCAAAGACGGAAAAAUUUAUCUAUAUAUAAAUUAUUUACUAUGUUAAACAUAGUUUGGUUAGUAAGCUAAUGGACAACAAACUAAAUUUAAACAAACCAUGAUACUAAAAUAACUAUACUAAUUUAUUUUUGUGAAUGUUAAUUUUUAUUUCAAUUUCAUUGUGUAUAUUUUAGUAACAUAAACUUUAAACUUAUGUAAUAUUAUUAGAAUAUAUAACAAUGCAAAUAAGAUUUCUGUCAUUUGUAUAAAUAGACACCUUAAUUGUGAUUAUGGAAUAUAUUUCAUUAUCUUAACACAAUUUUGUUAAAGUUGUAACGUUUUCGAGCAUGAAUUGUCUUUUGCACUUUGUAAAUAAUUUUCACAAUGUUGAACUUUUCAAUCUCUUAGUAUAAUACAUUGACUUUCAAUAAAGCUUAGUUCUACAAUUUCAAAAUAAUUUUAUAUAUCUCCGAACUCAACCUCUAACGUGCUGAUAUUUUACAACAUUUCUAUUUGAAGUAUGAUUUUUGACUCAAAAUUAACACUUUUAACUCUUCACGCAAUUUAAAAAAUAAUAAUUUAAUUUCAUGAAAAAUCUCGUGCAAUGUGCAUGGAUCCAUCUAGUUAUUAUUAAAUUGACAUUAAUGACUAUUUUAAAAUUAUACCUUAGAGAAUUUAAAUGAUAUAUGCUAAGUUAUAAUAUUACACUCAUACGACCGAGCUAACACAUCAUAGACAUAAUUAUAACAUAUUUAUUUCUAUGUUUUCUCAAAUAAAUACAUAGAUAAAUACGGCCUUUUAUAUCAUUCAUUUAGAAAUUUUUACUGGCACAAUCAUACCACGUAGGCACACAUUGUAUUAAUCCAUAAAGAAACUUUUUUUUUGACUCAAAUCUAUAAAGAAUUAGUCAAUAUAGUAUUAAGUAAUCUCUUUUAGUUGGACAAUUGAUACUAAAUUAUUGUUGGUUGCCUUCUAAAAAUCUAUCAUGCCUCAUCACUAUACUUAGAAAAGUAAAUUAAGCUUUGUUGAUAUAUAUCUCUAAUAUUUGGAGAAUCAACGUGAAUGGUACCACAAGCUUUAGAGAUUCUAUUGUAACUAUGCUGCAUGGAUGCCAUGUGCACAACAGGUUUAAUAACUCUUAAAGACAAGAAUAGUACCACACAAACUUUGUGGUGCAUGGAAGCCAUUUGGACAAAGUAAAACAAGGUAGUUUUGAUACCCUUUUGGAGACAACCAUAAAGUUUGGAGUGUGAUGCAUGGAUGACAUUUGCACAAGCUUUCUUAACCACUUGGAGGAAUCAAUUUCAAUGUAUAACAAUGGCAUACGACAAGCUUUGCAUGCAAAUGUAACUAAAUAGUUGCAUGUGGAAUUACUAUAUAUAUGGCUACCUUGUAACAUUCAUACACACACUCAACUAAUUAGUUUCUAUAUAGUCAUCACUUCUUCAUAGCCAAUCAAUGGAGUUUGCACGUCUCUCUAUUUUAACUUUGUUUUGUGUAAGCUAACUCAUUUUCUACUUUACUUGAUAACUUUAAGUUAUGAUCUAUAUUGUUUCAAAUUCUUCCAUGCACUUUGAAUGUUUUAAAUUACAAUAUAAAUUAAUCUCAAUGUUUUGUGCAUGCAUAAAUAGUUUUCAUUAGAUAUUAUCAUGAAGAGGGACACUUUUACAAAACAUUGCUAAUAUGUAAUGUGAACAAUAUAUUUUUUGCAGUUAGCUUUUGUGGGAAUUAGUGCAUCACCACUGUCCGGUGAAGAUUAUUGGCAAUCUAUUUGGCCAAACACUCCUCUGCCUAAGAUUUUCUUAGAUCUACUUUUGCCUUGUAAGUAGUAUUGUAUGUGUUUGUUUAUUAACUUUGUUAUAAUGGUUUAGUUUAAUGUUUUGUUGAAGAGUUCAUAUCUCCUACAAUUAAUUUAUGGUACAACAACUAUAAGUACUCUUAAACUUAGAGAUAUAAACUUGAUCUCUCUAAAUCUAAUACUUUUUACAAUUGCUACACCAUAAAUUAGUUGUAGAGAAUCCAAUUUGUUGGUUGAUUGAUCUAUAAAUCAAUGGCUCGUCACGUUAAUGUUAUUGUUUCAUGUGUGAAUUAGUGUCACAUAACAUGAUAUAAGAUACUUUUUUUUUGUUAAUGUACAGAUGGAAGAACCAAUAGUCUACCUAUCAGAGCAGAAGAAAUGAAUCAAUAUUCAACACUCUUUUUCGAACAUGACCUUUAUCCUGGAAAGAAAAUGACCUUGGGUAAUAUUCAAUCUUUGGGAAAGAUGGUGCGACCAUUCAUAAAACCAACACAAGGUGUUACAGACUCCAUAUGGUUGGCAAAUAAAGAGAGACAAAGUCUUAAUGACUUUUGUUCAAGCCCAACUGCUACAGGAGAACACAAACAUUGUGUAUCAUCUUUGGAAUCAAUGAUUGAUCAUGUCAUUUCACAUUUUGGGACAACAAAGAUAAAGGCAAUUUCAAGUACCUUUGUCCAAAACCAAGACCAAUAUGUUGUUGAGGAAGUGAAAAAAGUUGGAGACAAUGCAGUGAUGUGUCAUAGAUUGAAUUUCGAAAAAGUUGUAUUCAAUUGCCACCAAGUGCAAUCAACAAUCGCUUAUGUGGUCUCAUUGGUAGCCCCUGAUGGAACUAAAGCUAAGGCUUUAACAGUUUGUCACCAUGAUACAAGAGGGAUGAACCCUGAGUUGCUUUAUGAAGCUCUUAAAGUUGAUCCUGGAACCAUCCCUAUUUGUCAUUUCAUUGGAAAUAAGGCUGCUGCAUGGGUGUCCAAUCAUUCUAAUGACCAUCUAUGUGUUAUUUAGGUGCUAACUUGUUGUGCACAUCAUUUCUCAUUCAAUAAUUUUACACUAAACAUGUGUUUGUAUGGAGAAACACGAUGUGCAAGUAUCAAAUCUCAUGUAUUUCAAAUAAAACUAGGUAGUUCUAUUCUAGUUAGAACUAUGGGUGUACUUUGGUAUGGUCGGUAGGCAACCUAGUUUCCUAUGAUCAAUACACCAGUGUACGUUUAAAAUCGAUAAUGAUAAAAAAAUGUUAUUUAAUGUAAUAUAUUGUUGAUAUUUCAUUUGUGUUUUAAAAAAGUAGAAUAUGUCUAGGGAUGUCAAUGGGUAGGAUUUGGAUUGGAUAUUAUAGUACUCGUUCCCUUAUCCGCAUUUUAUAAAAAUAUUCAUACUCGUGCUCGUGUAUCAACUUUAAUAUGUGUACCCUUACCCUUUGGGUACCUUAUUCGUCCAUAUACCUAUUAUACACACUUUAACUAAAAUAAAUCGAUAAAUAAGUGAUAUUGUUGUGAUUAAUUAUUUAAAAAUUAUUCAAAUAUCUUAAAUCUAAUCAUGAUGCUUAGUUUGUUUGUCAUCAUAGUGUCAAGUUGUUUUUUUUCUCGUUUAAGUGCGGUGUUUACAUAGGCAACAAACUUGUUUGUUUUUCCGUCUAAGUGUGGUGUAUACAAAGACAACAAACUUGUUAUGUUGGUACCAUACUCACUCGUUCUUAUAUAUGAUGAUUUGUCAACACGUGAUUGGAUUGGUCAUUUCAAAGAUCAUCCUAUAAUCAAUAAGAGCGAACACCAACAAUAUAUUUUUCCGAAGAUGGAUUGAAUUAAAACUAUAGAUCUUGUCUUAUUCUUGACUAUUGUCCAGGAAGAAAUUAGUUUGAUUACUUGAAUUAAAAUUUUGGCUUGAUCAUCUUUCAUUGAUUUAUAAAAUCUUUAUAUGUAUUGUUGGCAUGUUUUGUGUUUUUUUAAUUAGUUUUGAUCUCAAAAUAUAGAAGGGGAAUAUUUCAUAUCAUGAUGAAUUUGCUUGUAAUUUUCUUAUUUACAUUUGAAUAAAGCUUAAAACAAAUACAAACAUGCAAUAUAUUUCUAAUAUGGUGAAAAAAUAAGCAAAGAUAGUCACACAACUAGAGAUGACAACACAACUUGUAUUUGCGACUAUCCACUUGAAAUUUUUUCGAUUUGGACAGAGAAAACUCACUUUGAUUGGUUGCGGGUGUAGAUUUUCUCCGGAAUUAAAACUCGGGCGAAGACAGGUUUGGAGUAUUCAUAUCCACCCCGCCUUUGUUCUCAAACUCAUUUUGUUAGUACUAUUAUUGUCAAUUUUAAAUUUUAUAUACAUGUAUUUAUUCAAUAUAUUUAAUAUUUUUUUAAUAUUAAAAAUUAUAAUCUUCUCUCUAGAAAAUAUAAUUUUAAUAUUUUUUAAUUUUAUUAUAUUAAAUAUAAUAAAUAUGACUUUUAAAGUUAUUAUUUUAUGUAUAUGAAUGGGUGUAGAUGUGGUUGGGACCGAACCCCGUCAUAGAUAUAAAUAGAGAAUUAAAUUUUACACCUGAUAACAAACAAGGACGGUGGCGGGUUUUCUCGGGUGCGGGAUGGAGGAGGCGAAACCUGCAUCUGCCCCUAUUACUAUGCCUAAUGAAAACCACGUAAUAAUGAGUUCGUUUGUUUAAGAUUUUUAAAAAGUGAUUUUGACUUUAUAUUGGAAAUUUUUUUUAAGAUAACUUAUUGAAAAAUAUUAUAAGUUGCUUUAGUCUAAUUUGUUAUUGAUUAAAAAAUUAAUUUUGGCAUUCUAUAACUGAGAUAUUUAUUAUUAAAUAUUUUAACAUGAUAAUUUUAACAAAAAAUAUCUAUAAAAAAUGAUUUUUAUGAACAAAAUAAAUUUUAAUUUUAAUUUCUUUUUGAAAUUUCAUUAUCCAAAAAAAUUGUAGCAAAGAGAUAGAAUACUUAAAAUAAUAUUUUAAAAUAAACUAUGUAAAUCAAUUUUUCAUGUAAAAUUUUAUUUUUGAAAUUCUUUUUUAGAAAUUUUAUAACAAAAAGUAAGAUUAUUAUAAAAAUCUUGGACUAUCCCUAUGACUAUGGGAGUUGGAAGCUCUUAUUAAAAUUCUAAUCUAAAUGAAAAACAACCUUGCCCUUUUUUCCUAUAUACUAUAUUACACUCUAACCCUUGUUAUUCUACAAAACUUAAUUAUAGUUUUAUUAAAUUAAAAAAAAAUGUAAGUAGUUAUAAUUUUUUAAUUAAUAAUUUUUCCACUUUGCUAAUUUUUUUAAAAAAAAUUAACUAAAAUUUGAACUAGAUAAAGUAUAGAAGAAGGAAGAAAGAAUAGAGCAUAGAAUAUUAUAAUAUUUGCAUUAUAUUCUUCGAGGUGUAUUUCUAUAAAGUCACAUGAGUUCUAUUGAUAAUAGGAGAUAAAUCUUGUAACUUAUAAGUAUAUUAAGAGUCUAUUUUUAGAUGCACUAACAAUUAAAGCGAAGAACAAUAACAAUUGAGUGAAUGACUUUAAUUUAACUAUGGAGUUAUAUGAUGUAGGAAUAUAAACAUCCACUAAAUACUUUAAUUAUUCACUACACUCCCCCAUAUGAAAACCUUACUAAAAAAACUAGUGGUAAAAAAUUCUUGUGAAGAAAAAAAUUUACAACAUUUUUGUGGGAACUGUCUCAUUAAAAAUACUUUAAGAAAAACUCAAAAGGGAUAAAAUUUCGGUGAAGGAAAAAAUAGUGCAUUAUAUAUUUAUUUAUUUAUCAUUUCUAUGUAGAUAACAAUUUGUUAAACAAUAAAGAUCAAUCAAUUGUAGUAGUUGUUGAAAAAUUUCUUCGGAUGACUUCAUUGAUUUUUGUAUUAUCAAUUGGUUGAACAUUAAGACCAAAAACUAUUAUGCUAUAAUAUCUCUUGUUCUAUCUCCUAUAAUGAAUCAUUCUCAACUAAGGUGUGGAUGCAAUAUUAUUCUCAUAAAUAACUACUAUAGUUAUUGUUAUGAAACUUAAAUCAUAAUUCAUUUGCCUAUGUUGAAUCAUGACAGAUUUAAGUCAAAAACACCUUCUCGACUUUCCUAUGUGUAGUUCUAAGUAUAUAUUUCACUAUAUUUCAAUGCAGUUGUCUAUAUAUAUAAAGGACUACAUUUGUCUAAUAGAUAGAUUAACAACAAAGUAUAUUUUAAUGUGUAUUUUUAGAAAGGUAAAUAAGUAUAAUACAUAUAUAUAUAUAUAUAAUAUUUGGACCGUUCGAAAAAUAUAUUUGUUCCCAAUUGGUGAUCUUAAAACCAUCAAAAUAAACAAUUGAUUUGUUUUGUAUAUAUAGAACCAUUUUAGCACAUUUAUUUUUUAAGCUUCAAGAUUCAUAGAAACUUCAAAUGUUUUAAAAGCUCUUCUUAAGUUUAGAUAAGAUUUAUAUCAUUACCAUAAAUAAUAAUUAUAAUAUUUUUUUUUUUAAAUGGGAGAAGGAUAAAUUAUUAUUAAAUUAACACUAAUGACUAUUUUACGAUUGUUCCAAAUGAUAUUUGAAUUAUAUCUCUUUUGAUUACAAUAUUAAAUUCAUAUUGUUGAGCUACCACCUUAUGAACAUAAUUGUAGCAAAGUCAUUGUACAUAUUUCUAGUAGUGUUAAGUAAUCUAUGUUGCAAUUACAUUUACUAAACAAGAUGCGCUCAAUAUAAAGAUUAAAACUAUAAUUAUAUUUUAGUAUGGAAGUCAAACAAUGAAUGAACAUGCAUAUAAAUUAGGAUCUUCCACAUAUUUGAUUUAUCAAAGAUAUUUUUGAUGAAUUCAUUUAUUGUGGUCUCUCGGUAGUAGUCUUGACACACAUAGAAAAUAAAGACGGAUGACAAACACAAGUCACUUGUUACACACUCAUAUUUGAGUAGAACCCAUAUUAAUUAAUUUAUUUAGUUAGUAAUUCGAAUUAAUUUAAUUUAUUUAUGGCUUAAGUAUAUGUCUAGUCCAUGUAAUUUAAUGGUUUUUUUUGUCCCUAUAAUUUUUUUUGUUUCAAAUUUAGUCACAUAAGUUCAAUUUUGUUUUAAAAUCGUCUUUGUUGUUAGUGACUGUUAAAAAAAGCAGACAUGACAAAUAGAGAAUGGGUGGAAAAAAAAAGUGCAAUCUUACAAGAACAAAAAUAAAAAUUUAAAAAAAAAACACGAAUUUACAAGGACUAAACAUAUAUACUUUGAUUUGAUUUUUGACUCUGCAAGUUCACGCUUUUUUAUUUUCAUUUCUUCUCUGUUUUCCAUGUCAGCUUUUUUCAACAAUAACUAACAAUAUAGACGGUUUUAAAACAAAAUUGAACUUACAAAUUUAAAUUUGAAACAAACAAAAAAUUACAAGAAUGAAAACAAAAAAAAAACGCUAAUUUACAGAAACCUUAAAUUUUUUAAGCUUAAUUUAAUUAUUUAAUUUGAUCGCUAGUCAACUAAUACUCUUAAUAAAUAAAUAAAUAAUAUAAUUAAUAUAAGAUAUUUGUCUACAUAAUAUAAUUAGAAUAUAAUUAAAUAGUAAAAUAUUUCUAAACAUCUGUUCUAGUUGGAAAAUUGACACUAAAUUUUUGUUGGUUGCCUUCUAAAAAUCUAUCAUGCCUCAUCAUUGUACUAAGAAAAAUAAAUUAAGCUUUGUUAAUACCUUUACUCAAGGAGAAUCAACAUUAAAUAUUGGUACCACAAGUUUUGGAGAUUCUAUGUAUCUAUCCUGCAUGGACGCCAUGUCAUGGAAACAACAAUGGUACUACAAACCUUGGAGUGGGAUGCAUGGACGACAUUUGCACAAGUUCUGUUACCCACUUGUAGGAAUCAAAAUGAAUGAACAAAAUGGUUUAAGACAAGCUUUUCAUGUGAACUUACUAUAUAUAAUGGGCACCUUGUAACAUUUAUACACACACUCAAGUAAACUUAUAUAUAGUCAUCACUUCUUCAUAACCAACCAAUGGAGUUUUCACGUCUCUCUAUUUUAGCUCUAUUUUGUGUAAGCUAACUUAUUUUCUACUUCAAGAAUUAAAAGAUCCAUACAAAGUUUUCAUUAGGAAUUAUCAUUAAGGAAUAAGGAGGGACACUUUUUUUAAACAAUACUAAUAUAUGUAAUUUGAAUAUUUUUUAUUACAGUUGACUUUUGUGGGAAUUGACGCAUCACCAUUGUCUGCCGAAGAUUAUUGGAAAUCUGUUUGGCCAAAUGCUCCUCUUCCAAAGGCUUUCUUUGAUCUAUUGUUACCUUGUUAGUAGUAGUAUUAUAUAUAUAUUUGUUAGNNNNNNNNNNNNNNNNNNNNNNNNNNNNNNNNNNNNNNNNNNNNNNNNNNNNNNNNNNNNNNNNNNNNNNNNNNNNNNNNNNNNNNNNNNNNNNNNNNNNNNNNNNNNNNNNNNNNNNNNNNNNNNNNNNNNNNNNNNNNNNNNNNNNNNNNNNNNNNNNNNNNNNNNNNNNNNNNNNNNNNNNNNNNNNNNNNNNNNNNNNNNNNNNNNNNNNNNNNNNNNNNNNNNNNNNNNNNNNNNNNNNNNNNNNNNNNNNNNNNNNNNNGAAUUUACAUUAUGACGAUAGUUGUAUGUAUUUCUUCUAAUUUAUUUUUUAUUCUUUUAAACCCAAUGGUUCCUACGGCUCCUACUCAAUAAAUCAAUUGUAGGAGAUCCAAUUUUUGUUGAUAGAGCUAUAAAUCAAUUGUAGGAGAUCCAAUUUUUGUUGAUAGAGCUAUAAAUCAAUUGCUCAUUAUAUUUUUGUUAUUUUUUCAUAUAUGAAUUAGUGUCUCAUAACAAGAUUUUUAAGACUCAUUUUUAUCUAUUAUUGUGGCAGAUGGAAAAACCAAUAGUCUACCCAUAAAAGUUGAAGAAAUGAAUCAAUACUCGACACUCUUUUUUGAGCAUGAUCUCUAUCCUGGAAAAAAAAUUACCUUGGGUAAAAGUCAAUCUUUGGGAAAGAUGGUACGACCAUUCACAAAACCAACACAAGGUAUCACAGACUCCAUAUGGUUGGCAAAUAAAAAGAGACAAAGUCUUAAUGACUUUUGUGCGAGUCCAACGGCUACAGGAGAACAUAAACAUUGUGUGUCAUCCUUGGAAUCAAUGGUUGAUCAUGUCAUUUCACAUUUUGGGACGACAAAGAUUAAGGCAAUUUCAAGUACUUUUACCCAAAAUCAAGAUGAAUAUGUUGUUGAGGAAGUGAAAAGAGUUGGAGACAAUGCAGUGAUGUGUCAUAGAUUGAAUUUCGAAAAAGUUGUAUUCAAUUGCCACCAAGUGCAAGAAACAACCGCUUACGUAGUCUCAUUGGUAUCCCCUGAUGGAACUAAAGUUAAUGCUUUAACAGUUUGUCACCAUGAUACAAGAGGUAUGAAUCCUGAAUUGCUUUAUGAAGCUCUCAAAGUUGACCCUGGAACUGUCCCUGUUUGCCAUUUCAUCGGCAAUAAGGCUGCUGCUUGGGUACCUAACUUUUCUGAUGACCAUCUUUGUGUCAUCUAGAUGCUAACUUCUUGUGCACAUCAUCUCCCUUUCAAUAACAUCAUGUUCAAACUGGCUUUGUUUUAUUAAAUUUAUGUAUGUAUGUAUGGAGAAUGUGAUGUGCAAGUAUGGGAUUUCAUGUAUUUCAAAUAAAACUACUUCUAUUUUGAAUAUGUGUAUAUUUGCAUGUGUUGGGAGUUUGAUAUCCUCUACUCAGUACCUUGAUGUAUGUUGAACUUGAUAAUAAUGAGAAAAAAAGAGUUGUGUUUGAUAUACCUUGUUGACUGUAGACUUUUUAGACUUUGGAUAGAAAAAUUUCUUCCUUGUUAAAAUUAAAAUUACAAUUGACCAUAAAUCUAUAAGUUUUUCCUUUUCUAUACUACAUUCAAAAGAAGGAAUUGUAUUAAAUCAUAUAUUCAAAAUUUAUUCUCAAAGUAACUAAAAUCACCAAAACACUCGCAGCAUAUAAUAUCAACUCAAUUUUAGUUACAUGUGAUGAAGAGAUUCGUAAAUUAUCUUUUAUAGUUUUGAAUAUAAGUAAAAACUAGAUGUUAAUCUCUGCAAUUUAAGUGGAUCUUUAAAAAAAUCAAUAUGAAAUUUUAUGUCUCAAUUGUCAAAUGAUUAUUGAUAUAGUAGUUAUAUCAAUAAUAUGCAUUUAAUUUUAUAUAUAAAAUUUAUAGAAGAGAAGUAUCAUUGUCACGGAUGUUGUUAGCAAACACACCCAACAAUAAGGUAAGCAAAAAAGAUAUAUGUACUAUCAAUUAAGAAGAAGUGAAGAAACUUCUCAUGUUAUUACGCUCAAUAUUGCAUAUUCUGAAAAAAUGUAUACAAUUGCUAUCAAAUAAGUAAUGGCAGAUAGAGGCGAAAAUAAAACAUAUUGACUAGUAACGUGAAAUUAAUGUGAAAGAUGUUUAGCAAACGUUAUGAAAUAAUAAUGUGAUGUUAUGAAAUAAUAAUGUGAUGUUAUGAAAUAACAAUGUGGGAUUAAUUUAGAAAACUUUGAGUAGACGUUAUAAAAUGAUUAUCUUUAUGAAGACAUACAGUUUUUUGGUUGAUGUGAGAAAUAUUUAUAUAAAGAAAAUAGUACGAGGUAGAUAGAUAAUAAAAUUUAUGAUAAUUACGAAAGUCAAGUAAUUUCAUUUAAUUUUUUGAAUACCAUAAAAAAGGGGGGAGGGCCCUGCCAUAGUUUUUAAAAGUAAUCGCAAAUAACGAUUUAUUGUUUAUUAUUUGUUCACAUUGUUCAAAAAACAUACUAAAACUUUAAUUUCAACUUGUUUUGGCGUAUUCAUAUAGUAUAACAUAGCAGUACUAUAUCAUUUAUUAAUUAAUUUAUUUCCUUUGUAGAAGAUUCAAUUUCAGAAAAAUAAAUUUGGCACAUAUUUUAUAUUAGAUGUUUCAUAUUUUAUUUGAUAAAUAUGAAUAAUUAUUGGAAAUGGUUAAUUAUUAUUAUUUCUUUUUUGUAUUUUUUAUUUUAAAAUUAUUAAUAAUUCAACGGUAAUUAAGAUUUUAAAAAUUAUUUUUUAUUUUUUGUCAAAAAAAUUAUAAAAAUUGAAACAAUACUAUUUAAUUUAUCAUAUGAAUUAGUAGAUUUCAAGUAAAAUUUUAAUAUUUCAAUUAUUUUUUAAAAAAACUUUUUUUUCUAUAAAAUGCAAAAACUGAAUGAAUAAUUAAUAUCAUUUUAUAGACUUAAAUAUAAUUUUAGCUAUUUAUCUUUACCUAAUAAUAAUUUUAUUUUUUUAUCUUUUUUUAUUCAUUUUGGUUCUUUAUUAUCUUUUGUAAGCGGUGUAAUUUAGUCUUUUUCAUCAUAAUUAUUUUAAACAACUAUAUAAUUAUUGUAAAGUUAAGUAUGCAAUUUAAUAAGGAUGGGUGAAAUCUAAGAAACUAUGAUAAACGUCAUUCGUUUCAAAGAGUUCAUAUAUAUUUUAAAGCAUGUAAGAAUUUUUUUUUUUCUAAUGCAAACCUAUUAUUGAGUUAAAUGCAUAUUUUUUUGAAAGAAUACAUUAUACUGAAUACAUAUUGACAAUUGUUAGAAGGGAUUUCAAUUAUCAAAUGUUGUUAUAACUUUUGUUGUCUUUGUGACAAAAACUGAAAUACACCACUUAUAAAAGAUAAAGUACCAAAAUAUUAAAAUAAAUAUAAAGGACCAAAUCAAACAAAAAAAUAAAUAUAUAAAUAACCAAAAUGAAUAUUAAAGAAAAGAUAAAUGACUAAAAUUAUAUUUAAGGCUAUUUUAUAAGAUGUGCAUGCAUUAAAAAAAUAACUAAAUGCUUUCAACUAACUCAAUAGUAUAUAAUUUGAUGUUAAUUCAACUGCACAAACAUAUCUAAUAACUUCUAAUUCUUCAAACAAAAUUUUACCAUUAGGAAAAUGGUCACAUUUUCCCAAGUUUUAAGAUGUUUACAUCAUAUUUUAAUUUAGGUUAUUAUUAAAUAAUAAUUUAACCCUUAAUACUAGACAAAAUUAAAAAUAUUCUCAGAUAUAUAUACAGCUCAAAUCUUCUAUUAAGCUCAAAUCUUCUAUUAAGUGGAUAAUUGUUAAGUUUUUAUUUGAAUGUAACUUUAAUUAUAUAUUUUUUAUAUCUUAAUAUUUAUAUAUCCUAAUUAAUAUUAUUGAAGUAAAAAAAGUUUUGGGUAUCCCUAAAAAAUUAAUGUCUUAAGCAGUCAUUUAUCUCAACUAUACCCUCAAGAAUACCACUGCCUAACGGACGGGUAUUUUUCACCAAUAUUUUGUAUGGUUGAAUACUAGACAAUGUAGUAAAGACUAGUGGACUAAGGAUACUAGUGUCAUGAACCACUUUGGUUUGGUCUUUUGUCACUAAAAAUACCAGAUGUAUUUUGAAUAACCUCUUUUUAAAUUUUUUUUACUUAAAUACUCACUUUUGAAAAGUAUUAACUAAAAUGUCUUUUUUUUAUACCUUAUAAGUCCCCAUUUAUAAAAGUAAUUUUUCCGUUGCAAUGGCGACUUCCUUAAAUAAUUUAAAAAAAAAAUUAAUUUAUAUAUAUAUAUAUAUAUAAUUCAUAAAAAUACAUAAACACAAAUUUUAAAUUACAUAGAUUCACUAGAGUUGUCUAUAACAUUUUAAAUUACCUAAUUUAUUCAUAAAAACAUCACAAAUUUUACAAAAAUUACGAUAAAAUUAAUGUCGAAAAUGACCUCCAGUAUCAUAUUGCCUAUGUUUUCUCACAGUACAUAUGUACCAAGGCGUCGUCAAAAUCUCGUUCGUGUGAGAAAAUAUUGGCAAUGUGGUACUGGAGAUUACCUUCGACAUUAAUUUUAUCGUGAUUUUUGUAAAAUUUAUGAUGUUAUUUAUGAAUAAAUUAUAUAAUUUAAAUUUUGUGUUUAUGUAUUUUUAUGAAUUAUAUAUAUAUAUAUAUAUUGUUAAUUUAAUUUUUUUUUUUUGAAAAUUGCUUAAAGAAAUCGUCAUUGCAAAUUCGGACUUCCUUAAAGAAGUCGCCUUUGCAAAUAGAGACUUGUAAGAUAUAAAAAUAAAAAUAAAAAAAAUAAAAAAGAACAUUUUGAUUAAUAGUUUUCAAAAGCGGGUUAACUAAAUAAAAAAUUUAAAAGAGGUUAUUAAAAUAAAAAUAAAAAAAAACCUAUAUCAGAGCACUAGUAAGGAAAAAUAUACACAAAUUAUAUAUUACUUUGAAAAUGUUCAUUGUAUAAUGUAACAUUUUUAUUUAUAUAUUUAUAAAAAAAAUCAUAUGUUGUUCUUUUGUUUUUAGCAAAGGCCAGUUAAUUUAAAUAGGUUUGUUUGUUUCAAUAUUUUAUUUAUUUUAAUUUAAAUUUUUUAUUGGAUUGUUUGUGUAUAAAUUUUAUUAUUGAUUUUUUUUUUCAGAUGUAAUUAUUAUAUUUUAAUAUAUUUUGUGGUUAUUUAUGGUUGCUAUAUUUUAAUUAUUAAAAUAUAGUUAAAAUAUUGUGAUGUAUUUAUAUACAAUAAAUUUAAAAAGUAAUUGAUAAUUAAAUCAAAUUUGUAAUGAAAGCUAUAUUUUUUUAUUGUUAGUUUUUAAUCAUAGUUACAUAGAACAAAGAAGUAGUAGAAUGAUAAAUAAAGAAGAAAUGAAUUCUAGAGAUAUAACAUGUCGUCUUAUCGAAGGACUUAGGAUAAUUAGUAUUACAUGACAUAUAAGGAUGUAUUUGUGAAUAAUAUAAUUAUUUGAGGAUUUAUUUUAAUAUAUUAUUGUAUAUUGUAUAUUUUAUAUUGAUCCUAAUCUCAAUGAAGAAAAAAAAAACUUAUCGUUUUUUCUAUAUACUAUAUUACACUCUAAUCCGUAUUGUUCCACAAACCUUGAUUAUAGUUUUGUUAACUUAUAAAAAAAUUGCUAAAUUUAAAAAAUAUGAAUUAACUAAAACUAGAGCUAAAUAGAAGAAUGAAAGGAAGGAAGAAAAAAUAUACUAGAGAGAGAAUAAGAGAGUAUUUGCAUUAUGUUCUUCAAGGUGUAUUUCUAUAAAGGCACGUUAGUCCUAUUUAUAGGUAAUAAAUCUUAUAACUUAUAAGUAUAAUAGGAGUCUACUUUUAACUAUGGAGUUAUACGAUAUAGAAAGAUGAACAUUCUUUAAAUACUCUAAUUAUUUACAAUACUCCCCCUAAUGAAAAUUUUAUUAAACAAACUCUGUCACGAAAACGGCUAAAACUGUAUUUAUGUAAAAACUGACUCAUUAAAAAAAAUUCAAGAAAAACUGAAGAAAAAAAAUCAAAUUUUAAGAAAAAAGAAUGUAUUAUUUAUUUAUUUAUCCCCCACACAAUAACCUCUAAAACAAGGAAGAUCAAAUUUUCGUAAAAGUUGUUGAAAAAUUUACUAAGUGGUGACUUUGUACAAAUAUGUAUCAUCAAUUAGUUGAAGAUUACAACCAAAAAAUAUUUUACUAAAAUACAUUUUAUUCUAUCUCCUUUAACAAAUCAUUCUCCACUAAGGUGUGCAUGCAAUGUUAUCCUCGUAAAUAAUUAAUGUAGUUAUUUUUCUAGAACUCAAAUCAUUAUUCAUUUGCAUGUGUUGAAUCAUGAUAGAUCUAACUCAAAAUACCUUCUCAACUUACCUCAUGUAAUACUAAAAUUUCUACAUCUAUAAGAUAACCAAGUAUAUAUUUCACCAUAUUCUAAUGUCGUUGUGUAUAUAUAUAAAGGACUACAUUUGUUUAAUAGAUAGUUUGAUGCAAAUGAUAUUUCACAAUAUAAUUAGAAAGAUACAUAACUAUCUAAUUGCACUAAUAUAUGAAAUUUUAUGAUCAAAUAGUUGAUAUUCAGUCAUUUUCUCUAGCUUAAAAAAUAUAUUUGUUCACAAUUGAUGAUCUUACAACCAUCAAAAUGCACAAUUGAUGUGAUUUGUCUAUAUUGAACCAUUUUAGCACAUUUUCUAGUUAAGCUUCAAGAUUCAAAGAAAAAUUAUUCUUUAAAUACUCAAUUUGUAACCUCAAGCAAAUUUAUAUCCUUCUUAUGUAUUCCAUUUCAAACGUUUUCUCUAAAAAAUCAGAUUUUAGAAGCUCUUCCUAAGUUCAAAUAAUAUUUAAAUCAUCAACAUAAACAAUAAAUAUAGCACACUUUUUAAAAAAAUGAGGGAAGGAGAAAGUAUUAUUAAAAUGACACAAAUUAUCAUUUUACAAUUGUCCCAAAAGAUAUUUGAAAUAUGUAUUUUAAGGUUAUAAUUUUAAACUCUUACAGUUGAGCUAACACUUUAUGGACAUACUUAUAGCAAGUUCAUUUCUACAUAUUUUCAAAUAAAUACAAAGAUAAAUAUGAUAUUUCAUAUCAUUCAUUUAAGAGAUAUUCAAUGAGACAAUUAUACUACAUGUAAACGCAUGUAUUAAUCUAUAAAAUGACUUAUUCAAUAUAAUAUUGAGUAAUCUAUGUUGAAAUUAAACUUACUAAUUAAUCAAUACAAAAGAUGCUCAAUAUAAAGAUUAAAACUAUAAUCAUACUCUAGUGCAGAAGUCAAAUAACAUUUGAACAUGCAUUUAAUUAAAAUCUAUCAUAUAUUUAAUUUAUCAAAAAUAUUAAUACCAAGAUUAUGAAUGCAUUGAUUGUAGCAUGUCAAUAGUAUGCCUUAGACGCUUUUCAAAUGGGGAUAAUAGGCUGUGUGCGGUGUGUCCGAUAUAUCGGAAAUCGUGGAUCAACGAGGAACAUCCACUCAUAUUUGAGUCGGACACAUAUCACUUUAUUAAUUUAAUUAAUUAUCCAAAUAAAAAUUUAUUGAAUUUAAUUUAUAUAUAUUGUUUGUAUAAUUAUGUGAAUUGAGUUUUUACAUUGUCGGUAAAUGAAAAACGUUACAUCAUUAAAGAUUAAAGAUGUUUGACUUUUAUAAUUAUCUAUAAUGUCAUGUUCAUAAAUGAUUGUAAUGAUUGUCGAUGUAAGACUUUUUAUAUAAACUCAAAUCUAAUUAACCUUAUUACUUAAUUUGACCACUAAUCAAUUAAUCAUCCUAAUUAAUAAAUAACUAAUAUAAUUAAUAUAAGAUACAGGGCCUCAUAAUAUUGAAAUAUAAUUAAAUAAUAAAUUGUUCUAACAUCUCUUCUAGUUGGAAAUUGACACUAAAUUAUUGUUGGUUGCAUUCUAACAAUAUAUCAUGCCUCAUUUGUUGUACUAAAAAAAGUAAAUUAAGUUUUGCUAAUAUAUAUAUCUCUAAUAUUUAGAGAAUCAACGUAAAUGGUACCACAAGCUUUGGAGAUUCUAUUGUAACUAUGCUGCAUGGAUGCCAUGUGCACAACAGGUUUAAUAACUCUUAAAGACAAGAAUAGUACCACACAAACUUUGUGGUGCAUGGAAGCCAUUUGGACAAAGUAAAACAAGGUAGUUUUGAUACCCUUUUGGAGACAACCAUAAAGUUUGGAGUGUGAUGCAUGAAUGACAUGUGCACAAGCUUUCUUAACCACUUGGAGGAAUUGAUUUCAAUGUAUGACAAGAAUAGUACCACACAAACUUUGUGGUGCAUGGAAGCCAUUUGGACAAAGUAAAACAAGGUAGUUUUGAUACCCUUUUGGAGACAACCAUAAAGUUUGGAGUGUGAUGCAUGAAUGACAUGUGCACAAGCUUUCUUAACCACUUGGAGGAAUUGAUUUCAAUGUAUAACAAUGGCAUACGACAAGCUUUGCAUGCAAAUGUAACUAAAUAGUUGCAUGUGAAAUUACUAUAUAUAUGACUACCUUGUAACAUUCAUACACACACCCAACAAAUUAGUUUUUAUAGAGUCAUCACUUCUUCGUAGUCAAUUAAUUAAUGGAGUUUGCACGUAUCUCUGUUUUAGUUCUGUUUUGUGUAAGCUAACUUAUUUUUUUACUUUAGAAUCUUUUAAUUUGCAAUUUCAAUUAAUCUCAUUGUUAUUUACUUUAAGAAUUAAUGCAAGCAUAAAAAGUUUUCAAUAAAAAUUGAAGAGAUGAACACUUUUUUUAAACAAUACUAAUAUGUGAUGGGAACAUUUUUUUGUAGUUGGCUUUUGUGGAAAUUGGUGCAUCACCAGCUGAAGAUUAUUGGCGAUCUAUUUGGCCAAACACUCCUCUGCCUAAAGCUUUCUUUGAUUUGUUGUUGCCUUGUUAGUAAUAUAUAUUAAUAUAUAUGUGUGUGUCAUGUGUGUUGUCUGCAUGAAUGAAUAAUUUUUACUUUAAAUCAUAAUGGUUAAACCAAUGAUUACAUGUUCAUGUUUAAGUUGAAAAUGUUUAUAAAAAUAAAGGACCUAUGUGGGAAAAGUAGAGAUAAAGCUGUAAAUGUUUAUAAAGAUAAAUGAUAUGUGUGGGAAAAAAAAUAAAAAAGGUGGAUAUUUUACUACUAAAUAAGAUAAAGGAUUUUAGAUGUAAUUAUACCUUAAUUUUAAUUUUUUUUGCAAUAGGUGUAUAGAAUUAGAUAUUGGUUUAUUAUGUGUAUUUCUUCAAAUUUAAUGUAAGGAUCCUCUGCAUUUGUUUUAUGGUACAUCAUAUAUAAGUAUAGUAGAUUUAGAGAGAAAAAUAUCAUCUCUCUAAAUUCAACUAAGCUACUACACUAUAUAGUUUUAUAGUUGGUCAAGGGAUCUAAUUUGUAUAUCGAGAGCUCUAUAACUCAAUUGCUCGUAAUAUGAAUGUUAUCAUUUCAUGUGUAAAUUAGUGCCUCAUAACAAGACUUAGGAUCCAUUGUUUGAUUAAUAUGCAGAUGGAAGAAGCAAUAGUCUACCCAUUAGUGCCAAAGAAAUGAAUCAAUAUUCGACACUCUUUUUCGAACAUGACCUCUAUCCUGGAAAGAAAAUUUCUUUAGGUAACAUUCAAUCUUUGGGAAAGACCGUACGACCAUUCAUAAAACCAACACAAGGUGUCACAGACUCCAUAUGGUUGGCAAAUAAAGAGAGACAAAGUCUCGAGGACUUUUGUGAAAGCCCAACUGCUAUAGGAGAACACAAACAUUGUGUAUCAUCUUUAGAAUCGAUGAUUGAUCAUGUCAUUUCACAUUUUGGGACGACAAAGAUUAAGGCGAUUUCAAGUACCUUUGUCCAAAAUCAAGACCAAUAUGUUGUUGAGGAAGUGAAAAAAGUUGGAGACAAUGCAGUGAUGUGUCACAGAUUAAAUUUUGAAAAAGUUGUAUUCAAUUGCCACCAAGUGCAAGCAACAACAGCUUACGUGGUCUCAUUAGUAUCCCCUGAUGGAACUAAAGCUAAAGCCUUAACAGUUUGUCACCAUGAUACAAAAGGUAUGAAUUCUGAGUUGCUUUAUGAAGCUCUCAAAGUUGACCCUGGAACUGUUCCUGUUUGCCAUUUCAUCGGCAAUAAGGCUGCUGCUUGGGUACCUAACCAUUCUAAUGACCAUCUUUGUGUCAUCUAGAUGUUAACUUGUUGUGCAUGUCAUCUUUCUUAUCAAUAAAAUCAUGCUAAAAUCACACUUCAAAUAUGAGCAUUUUCAACUUCAUGGAACUCUCAUGUUCAAAUUGGAUUUGACUUUCAUGUUCAAACUAGGUUUGUUUUAAAGUUAUAUAUGCAUGGAGAAAUGUGACGUGCUAAGUAUCAAAUUUCAUGUAUUUCAAAUAAAAC